CCUACGGGUGGCAGCCGUGAGGAAUAUUGGUCAAUGGGCGCGAGCCUGAACCAGCCAAGUAGCGUGAAGGAUGACUGCCCUUCGGGUUGUAAACUUCUUUUAUAAAGGAAUAAAGUGAGGCACGUGUGCCUUUUUAUAUGUAUUUUAUGAAUAAGGAUCGGCUAACUCCGUUCCAGCAGCCGCGGUGAUCCGUAGGAUCCGAGCGUUAUCCGGAUUUAUUGGGUUUAAAGGGAGCGUAGAUGGGUUGUUAAGUUAGUUGUGAAAGUUUGCGGUUUAACCGUAAAAUUGCAAUUGAUACUGGCAGCCUUGAGUACAGUUGGGGUAGGUGGAAUUCGUGGUGUAGCGGUGAAAUGCUUAGAUAUCACGAAGAACUCCGAUUGCGAAGGCAGCCUACUAAGCUGCCACUGACAUUGAUGCUCGAAAGUGUGGGUAGCAAACAGGAUUAGAUACCCUGGUAGUC
Molecule: ribosomal RNA, 460 nt
Filed under: uncultured bacterium
Lineage: Bacteria
Description: partial 16S ribosomal RNA
Rfam family: Bacterial small subunit ribosomal RNA
Source: RNAcentral